This 1343-nucleotide ribosomal RNA is filed under the name uncultured bacterium. Its description in RNAcentral is "16S ribosomal RNA". It matches the Rfam family "Bacterial small subunit ribosomal RNA", at positions 28 to 1378 of the family's 1533-position model. The record is from RNAcentral.
GACGAACGCUGGCGGCGUGCUUAACACAUGCAAGUCGAACGGAAAGGCCCUGCUUUUGUGGGGUGCUCGAGUGGCGAACGGGUGAGUAACACGUGAGUAACCUGCCCUUGACUUUGGGAUAACUUCAGGAAACUGGGGCUAAUACCGGAUAGGAGCUCCUGCUGCAUGGUGGGGGUUGGAAAGUUUCGGCGGUUGGGGAUGGACUCGCGGCUUAUCAGCUUGUUGGUGGGGUAGUGGCUUACCAAGGCUUUGACGGGUAGCCGGCCUGAGAGGGUGACCGGCCACAUUGGGACUGAGAUACGGCCCAGACUCCUACGGGAGGCAGCAGUGGGGAAUAUUGCACAAUGGGCGGAAGCCUGAUGCAGCAACGCCGCGUGCGGGAUGACGGCCUUCGGGUUGUAAACUGCUUUCGCCUGUGACGAAGCGUGAGUGACGGUAAUGGGUAAAGAAGCACCGGCUAACUACGUGCCAGCAGCCGCGGUGAUACGUAGGGUGCGAGCGUUGUCCGGAUUUAUUGGGCGUAAAGGGCUCGUAGGUGGUUGAUCGCGUCGGAAGUGUAAUCUUGGGGCUUAACCCUGAGCGUGCUUUCGAUACGGGUUGACUUGAGGAAGGUAGGGGAGAAUGGAAUUCCUGGUGGAGCGGUGGAAUGCGCAGAUAUCAGGAGGAACACCAGUGGCGAAGGCGGUUCUCUGGGCCUUUCCUGACGCUGAGGAGCGAAAGCGUGGGGAGCGAACAGGCUUAGAUACCCUGGUAGUCCACGCUGUAAACGGUGGGUACUAGGUGUGGGGUCCAUUCCACGGGUUCCGUGCCGUAGCUAACGCUUUAAGUACCCCGCCUGGGGAGUACGGCCGCAAGGCUAAAACUCAAAGGAAUUGACGGGGCCCCGCACAAGCGGCGGAGCAUGCGGAUUAAUUCGAUGCAACGCGUAGAACCUUACCUGGGUUUGACAUGGAUCGGGAGUGCUCAGAGAUGGGUGUGCCUCUUUUGGGGUCGGUUCACAGGUGGUGCAUGGCUGUCGUCAGCUCGUGUCGUGAGAUGUUGGGUUAAGUCCCGCAACGAGCGCAACCCUUGUUCACUGUUGCCAGCACGUUAUGGUGGGGACUCAGUGGAGACCGCCGGGGUCAACUCGGAGGAAGGUGGGGAUGACGUCAAGUCAUCAUGCCCCUUAUGUCCAGGGCUUCACGCAUGCUACAAUGGCUGGUACAGAGAGUGGCGAGCCUGUGAGGGUGAGCGAAUCUCGGAAAGCCGGUCUCAGUUCGGAUUGGGGUCUGCAACUCGACCUCAUGAAGUCGGAGUCGCUAGUAAUCGCAGAUCAGCAACGCUGCGGUGAAUACGUUCCCGGG